GGAAGUGCCUGUGGUUCAGCGUCACAGAGCAAACCUCCUUACCUGACUGCAUCAGCCGUGAGUCACCUGCCACCCCAGAAUUGCCGGAAUUGCCGGGCAGGUGGAGACUGAGCCCUCAGGAGUGUGCCUGGCUCGUGAGGCACAUGGCCACCCAGUGCCCGUGGCUCUGGGACUGAAACAGACAGCUGUCUCCAGGCAGGGGCUGCUUGAGCGCUCCUAGCUUCCCUCUUGAAUGACAGACGGUCACCCCAGCCGCCCUCUGUCGUCAGUACAAGUGCCAGAGGGCUCCUUGUGUCCCAGACCUAAAGGAGAUGCUUCCAGGAAGUGGUGAAGAGACAUCAUGCCACAUUACCCUGUUCUACUAGGGGGAAAAAGAGCUAUGUAUGUGAGAAAUUUGCAAGUGGCUUGAAAAUGAUCCAACCCGAUACAAACAAGAAAGGCGAGAUCCAGAAAAUGAAAAUGAUUCGUCCGAGCACACGAAAUGGGCUUCCCUGGGUGUGAGUAUCUGCGAGUGAGUCCAGUCGCAGAGACUAA
Molecule: long non-coding RNA, 534 nt
Organism: Tupaia belangeri chinensis (Chinese tree shrew)
Lineage: Eukaryota; Metazoa; Chordata; Mammalia; Scandentia; Tupaiidae
Exons: 3
Source: RefSeq, a predicted model, not a curated record